GUGUUCACUUCGGCAGCACAUAUAUUAAAAUUAGCAUGAUACAGUGAAGAUUAGCAUGACUCCUGUGCAAAGAUGAUGCAAAUUUGUGAGGCAUUAAAAGAACAAUA
This 107-nucleotide small nuclear RNA is filed under the name Catagonus wagneri (Chacoan peccary). Lineage: Eukaryota; Metazoa; Chordata; Mammalia; Artiodactyla; Tayassuidae. The record is from RNAcentral.